AGUAAGUUGAUGGGGUCCCAGG
This 22-nucleotide microRNA is filed under the name Haliotis rufescens (red abalone). RNAcentral's name for it is "hru-miR-1990". The record is from miRBase by way of RNAcentral. Lineage: Eukaryota; Metazoa; Mollusca; Gastropoda; Lepetellida; Haliotidae. RNAcentral also lists the same sequence under 6 other names.